GAUGAACGCUGGCGGCGUGCUUAACACAUGCAAGUCGAACGAGAAAUGGAGACGGAAACCUUCGGGCGGAAGGCUUCAUUUCGAGUGGCGGACGGGUGAGUAACGCGUGGGUAACCUGCCUCAUACAGGGGGAUAACAGUUGGAAACGACUGUUAGUACCGCAUAAGACCACAGCACCGCAUGGUGCGGGGGUAAAAACUCCGGUGGUAUGAGAUGGACCCGCGUUCGAUUAGCCAGUUGGCGGGGUAACGGCCCACCAAAGCGACGAUCGAUAGCCGAUCUGAGAGGAUGACCGGCCACAUUGGGACUGAGACACGGCCCAAACUCCUACGGGAGGCAGCAGUGGGGAAUAUUGCACAAUGGGGGAAACCCUGAUGCAGCGACGCCGCGUGAGUGAAGAAGUACUUCGGUAUGUAAAGCUCUAUCAGCAGGGAAGAAAAUGACGGUACCUGAGUAAGAAGCCCCGGCUAACUACGUG
RNAcentral lists this ribosomal RNA (478 nucleotides) under uncultured bacterium. RNAcentral describes it as "partial 16S ribosomal RNA". It matches the Rfam family "Bacterial small subunit ribosomal RNA", at positions 28 to 507 of the family's 1533-position model. The record is from RNAcentral.